Molecule: ribosomal RNA, 481 nt
Filed under: uncultured bacterium
Lineage: Bacteria
Description: partial 16S ribosomal RNA
Rfam family: Bacterial small subunit ribosomal RNA
Source: RNAcentral
AUUGAACGCUGGCGGCAUGCUUUACACAUGCAAGUCGAACGGUAACAGGCCGCAAGGUGCUGACGAGUGGCGAACGGGUGAGUAAUGCAUCGGAACGUGCACAGUCGUGGGGGAUAACUACUCGAAAAGUAGCUAAUACCGCAUACGAUCUAUGGAUGAAAGCGGGGGACCGUAAGGCCUCGCGCGAUUGGAGCGGCCGACGUCAGAUUAGGUAGUUGGUGGGGUAAAGGCUCACCAAGCCAACGAUCUGUAGCUGGUCUGAGAGGACGACCAGCCACACUGGGACUGAGACACGGCCCAGACUCCUACGGGAGGCAGCAGUGGGGAAUUUUGGACAAUGGGCGCAAGCCUGAUCCAGCAAUGCCGCGUGCAGGAAGAAGGCCUUCGGGUUGUAAACUGCUUUUGUACGGAACGAAACGGCUCUGGUUAAUACCCGGGGCUAAUGACGGUACCGUAAGAAUAAGCACCGGCUAACUACGUG